This 253-nucleotide ribosomal RNA is filed under the name uncultured bacterium. RNAcentral's name for it is "partial 16S ribosomal RNA". It matches the Rfam family "Bacterial small subunit ribosomal RNA", at positions 524 to 776 of the family's 1533-position model. The record is from RNAcentral.
UACAGAGGUCUCAAGCGUUGUUCGGAUUCAUUGGGCGUAAAGGGUGUGUAGGUGGCGCGCUAAGUCGGGUGUGAAAUUUCGGAGCUUAACUCCGAAACUGCAUUCGAUACUGGCGUGCUUGAGGACUGGAGAGGAGACUGGAAUUCAUGGUGUAGCAGUGAAAUGCGUAGAGAUCAUGAGGAAGACCAGUGGCGAAGGCGGGUCUCUGGGCCGGAACUGACGCUAAGGAGCGAAAGCGUGGGGAGCGAACAGG